This 388-nucleotide ribosomal RNA is filed under the name uncultured bacterium. RNAcentral describes it as "bacterial SSU rRNA". It matches the Rfam family "Bacterial small subunit ribosomal RNA", at positions 28 to 419 of the family's 1533-position model. The record is from RNAcentral.
GACGAACGCUGGCGGCGUGCUUAACACAUGCAAGUCGAGCGGUAAGGCCCUUUCGGGGGUACACGAGCGGCGAACGGGUGAGUAACACGUGGGUGACCUGCCCUCAGCUCUGGGAUAAGCCUGGGAAACUGGGUCUAAUACCGGAUAUGACUCCAUGACGCAUGUUGUGGGGUGAAAGCCUUGUGCGGCUGAGGAUGGGCCCGCGGCCUAUCAGCUUGUUGGUGGGGUGAGGCCUACCAAGGCGACGACGGGUAGCCGGCCUGAGAGGGCGACCGGCCACACUGGGACUGAGACACGGCCCAGACUCCUACGGGAGGCAGCAGUGGGGAAUCUUGCGCAAUGGGCGAAAGCCUGACGCAGCGACGCCGCGUGAGGGAUGACGGCCUGG